UCUGUUCCUUUUUUUCCCUCCUCCUUUUUAUUACGUAGGGAGCAAGCGUUAUCCGGAUUUACUGGGUGUAAAGGGUGCGUAGGCGGCUUGGUAAGUCAGAUGUGAAAUGUAUGGGCUCAACCCAUGCACUGCAUUUGAAACUAUUGAGCUUGAGUGAAGUAGAGGUAGGCGGAAUUCCCUGUGUAGCGGUGAAAUGCGUAGAGAUAGGGAGGAACACCAGUGGCGAAGGCGGCCUACUGGGCUUUAACUGACGCUGAGGCACGAAAGCGUGGGUAGCAAACAGG
RNAcentral lists this ribosomal RNA (284 nucleotides) under Ruminococcus bromii. RNAcentral's name for it is "partial 16S ribosomal RNA". It matches the Rfam family "Bacterial small subunit ribosomal RNA", at positions 502 to 776 of the family's 1533-position model. The record is from RNAcentral. Lineage: Bacteria; Bacillati; Bacillota; Clostridia; Eubacteriales; Oscillospiraceae.